RNAcentral lists this ribosomal RNA (920 nucleotides) under uncultured bacterium. Its description in RNAcentral is "bacterial SSU rRNA". It matches the Rfam family "Bacterial small subunit ribosomal RNA", at positions 8 to 964 of the family's 1533-position model. The record is from RNAcentral.
AGAGUUUGAUCCUGGCUCAGGAUGAACGCUGGCGGCGUGCCUAAUACAUGCNNNNGAGCGGUAAGGCCUCUUCGGAGGUACACGAGCGGCGGACGCGCUGAGUAACGCGUAGGAAUCUACCCCAAAGUGAGGGAUAAGCACCAGAAAUGGUGUCUAAUACCGCAUGUGCUCUAAGGAGUAAAGCUUUAAGCGCUUUGGGAAGAGCCUGCGUAUGAUUAGCUUGUUGGUGAGGUAAAAGCUCACCAAGGCGACGAUCAUUAGCUGGUCUGAGAGGAUGAUCAGCCAGACUGGGACUGAGAACGGCCCAGACUCCUACGGGAGGCAGCAGUAGGGAAUUUUCCACAAUGGACGAAAGUCUGAUGGAGCAACGCCGCGUGCAGGAUGAAGGCCUUCGGGUCGUAAACUGCUUUUAUAUGUGAAAAUUAUGAUGGUAACAUACGAAUAAGGAUCGGCUAACUCCGUGCCAGCAGCCGCGGUCAUACGGAGGAUCCAAGCGUUAUCCGGAAUUACUGGGCGUAAAGAGUUGCGUAGGUGGUAUAGUAAGCGAAUAGUGAAAGCGUAUGGCUCAACCAUAUAAACAUUACUCGAACUGCUAAGCUAGAAGAUAAGAGAGGUACCUGGAAUUCCUAGUGUAGGAGUGAAAUCCGUAGAUAUUAGGAGGAACACCAAUGGCGUAGGCAGGGUACUGGCUUAUUCUUGACACUAAGGCACGAAAGCGUGGGGAGCAAACGGGAUUAGAUACCCCGGUAGUCCACGCCGUAAACUAUGGAUGCUAGCUGUUGUCGGUAUCGACCCCGACAGUAGCGAAGCUAACGCGUUAAGCAUCCCGCCUGUGAGUACGGUCGCAAGACUAAAACAUAAAGGAAUUGACGGGGACCCGCACAAGCGUGGAGCGUGUUGUUUAAUUCGAAAGUAAGCGA